ACCUCUUGAAGCUCUAGCUCAAUUCUCUUGGCGUUGCUCUUGUAGUCAUCUGAUAAUCUAGUUCUUGUCAUUUCUUCUUGAACUUCUUGUUUAGAUUUCUUGUUUGUAUUUUUGGUCCGUAACAGUUUGUCGAGACUACCUUUAUUUUAAUAUCAAAGCUGAAUCCUUCUUGUUUGAGAGCGGAUUACCCCUCUUCUUGAAGGUAUUCUAGCGCUUUAGGGGUUGCGGAUUACCUUCCUCUAAACUGAUAUUUUCUCAAUC
Molecule: long non-coding RNA, 261 nt
Filed under: Physcomitrium patens
Lineage: Eukaryota; Viridiplantae; Streptophyta; Bryopsida; Funariales; Funariaceae
Description: long non-coding RNA (PPAT_LNC003049)
Source: RNAcentral